GGGAGGAGGGUUUUUGGGUUUUUUAAUUUUUUUUUCUGGUGGAAAGAGGAUUGAGGUUGCCCGGGGCCGUUUUCAAGGGCCCGGCUGUUUCCGCCCCCGCGGUAAUUGUUAGGGGGAAGGGGGGGCCGGGAUUGGGGGUUGUGGGGGAAACGCGGGGGGGGGAUGGAGUCGGAAUUGAAAUUUCGGGUUUUAGCCUAGAACCUUCACCCAAUUUUGAUAUUUUUUGUCAAGUUGAGGUAGGGGCAAGUCGGAGUGUGGCGGUGAAAGUGGUAGAUAUUGAUAGGAACACCAACCGCGAGGCGGCGUAGUGGGCUUGACUUUCGCUGAGGCUGGGAUGGUAGGGAUCAGGACCAAUCUAGAUUCAGUGGCCGUCCUCUCCGUCACCGUAGAUUAUGAUGUGUGGGGGGUCUGAGCCCCUCCUUGCCGGAGGUGACGCAAUCAGCAAUCUACUUCAGGUGGGCGUCCGCACGCUUGAAUCUCAAAGGAAUUGACGGGGGCCCGCCCAACGACAGUCGAUUGUGUGAUGUGAUUUAAAUCAAAGCGAAGAGACCUUACCUGGUCUGGUCAUCCGACUAAGGGGAUAGUCAUAUGUCGGGUGCCUCUCGGGGAAAGUGGAGACAGGUGGUGCAUGGUUGUCGUCAGCUCGUGUCGUGAGAUGUUGGGUUAAGUCCCGCAACGAGCGCAACCCCUGCCAUUAGUUGCUACGCAAGAGCACUCUAAUGGGACCGCUACCGACAAGGUGGAGGAAGGUGGGGACGACGUCAAAUCAUCAUGCCCCUUAUGACCUGGGCUACACACGUAAUACAAUGGCCGUUAACAACGAGGAGCAAACCCGCGAGGGGGAGCAAAUCUCGAAAAACGGUCUCAGUUCGGAUUGCAGGCUGCAACUCGCCUGCAUGAAGUUGGAAUUGCUAGUAAUCGCGGAUCAGCAUGCCGCGGUGAAUACGUUCCCGGGCCUUGCACUCACCGCCCGUCA
RNAcentral lists this ribosomal RNA (976 nucleotides) under uncultured bacterium. RNAcentral's name for it is "partial 16S ribosomal RNA". It matches the Rfam family "Bacterial small subunit ribosomal RNA", at positions 405 to 1399 of the family's 1533-position model. The record is from RNAcentral.